This 433-nucleotide ribosomal RNA is filed under the name uncultured bacterium. RNAcentral's name for it is "partial 16S ribosomal RNA". It matches the Rfam family "Bacterial small subunit ribosomal RNA", at positions 29 to 507 of the family's 1533-position model. The record is from RNAcentral.
AACGAACGCUGGCGGCAUGCCUAACACAUGCAAGUCGAACGAGACCUUCGGGUCUAGUGGCGCACGUGUGCGUAACGCGUGGGAACCUGCCCUUAGGUUCGGAAUAACGCCCCGAAAGGGGUGCUAAUACCGGAUAAUGUCAUCCGACCAAAGAUUUAUCGCCUUUGGAUGGGCCCGCGUUUGAUUAGCUGGUUGGUAGGGUAAAAGCCUACCAAGGCGACGAUCCAGAGCUGGUCUGCGAGGAUGAUCAGCCGCACUGGGACUGAGACCCGGCCCAGACCGGUACGGAAGAGUGCAGUAGGUAAUAUUGGAGGCUGGGGGAUGGUGCGACGCAGCAACGUGGGGUGAGUGAUGAAGCGGUUAGGGUUGUAAAGCCGUUAUACACGGGAUGAUAAUGACAGUACCGGGAGAAUAAGCUCCGGCUAACUCCGUA